This 511-nucleotide long non-coding RNA is filed under the name Heterocephalus glaber (naked mole-rat). RNAcentral describes it as "lncRNA (ENSHGLG00000042239.1)". The record is from RNAcentral. Lineage: Eukaryota; Metazoa; Chordata; Mammalia; Rodentia; Bathyergidae.
GUUUUAACAGGCUGGGUAACAGAAACCAGUACCAACUUGCUAGGUGGCCAAGGAGGCCCUGCACUGUGUUCCACUCCCACAGGUUCUGGGUUGGGAGCCUGCCGACCUGGCGCCUUCUCGUCAUUCGACCCACAGCUCUCCCUCUGGACACUUUUCUAGCAGCCCGUGGGGCUCCGACAGGAACACAGUACCAGUCUUUCACCUGGAGGCCUGCUCUCCUCCACUUUCUUCGUGUGGUGGGGACUGCCUGGGCCCUGUUCCACUGCGGUUCCCGGGGAAAGGAGACUGAGCACCACCGCUCUGAAGAAGGAUACUGAGGGCUCUGCUGACAGCUCCUCUGCCCUCCCGAUCCGGCCACCUGCCUCCUCAGCAGUACCCCCGGAAGAGCCAGAAGUCUCACAGUGCCAGAUCCAGUGAAUAAGGAGGAUGAAGACAAAUCACCAUGUUUUAUGAGCCCACCUUUCCGUUGGAUGGCCCUCAGAAGCAGCAUGCACUGUGUUUUUGAUCACAC